GACGAACGCUGGCGGCGUGCUUAACACAUGCAAGUCGAACGGAAAGGCCCUGCUUUUGUGGGGUGCUCGAGUGGCGAACGGGUGAGUAACACGUGAGUAACCUGCCCUUGACUUUGGGAUAACUUCAGGAAACUGGGGCUAAUACCGGAUAGGAGCUCCUGCUGCAUGGUGGGGGUUGGAAAGUUUCGGCGGUUGGGGAUGGACUCGCGGCUUAUCAGCUUGUUGGUGGGGUAGUGGCUUACCAAGGCUUUGACGGGUCGCCGGCCUGAGAGGGUGACCGGCCACAUUGGGACUGAGGUACGGCCCAGACUCCUACGGGAGGCAGCAGUGGGGAAUAUUGCACAAUGGGCGGGAGCCUGAUGCAGCAACGCCGCGUGCGGGAUGACGGCCUUCGGGUUGUAAACCGCUUUCGCCUGUGACGAAGCGUGAGUGACGGUAAUGGGUAAAGAAGCACCGGCUAACUACGUG
Molecule: ribosomal RNA, 468 nt
Filed under: uncultured bacterium
Lineage: Bacteria
Description: partial 16S ribosomal RNA
Rfam family: Bacterial small subunit ribosomal RNA
Source: RNAcentral